UUGAAUAUAAAGAAAAGACGAACAGCUCAGUAACUCUUAUUUUAUUUGAUGUAUUAGGAUUCUAACUAUGUUAAAUUAUAGAUAACAAUAAUACAAUAAGAAUAAGAUCUAUCAGUUAGUUGUUAAGGUAAUGGCUUAACAAGACUAUGACGGAUAACGGUAUUACUUUGUAAUAUUCCGGAGAAGGAGCCUGAGAGAUUGCUACUAAGUCUAAGGAUUGCAGCAGGGGCGAAACUUGACCUAUGAUAUGAUAUUGAGGCAGUUAUGAGUAGUAUUUUUAAUUAUUGUAGUAUUGUAAGUAUAUACUACAAGAUAAAUCGGAGGGCAAAUCGAGUGCCAGCAGCCGCG
This 348-nucleotide ribosomal RNA is filed under the name Nosema granulosis. Its description in RNAcentral is "SSU rRNA". It matches the Rfam family "Microsporidia small subunit ribosomal RNA", at positions 60 to 404 of the family's 1311-position model. The record is from RNAcentral. Lineage: Eukaryota; Fungi; Microsporidia; Nosematidae.